GCUCCCAUGGCGUAGUGGUCACUGCACUUGCCUUGCACGCGGGAGGCCAGGGUUCGAUUCCCGGCGGGGUCA
This 72-nucleotide transfer RNA is filed under the name Diaphorina citri (Asian citrus psyllid). It matches the Rfam family "tRNA". Rfam says of the family: Transfer RNA (tRNA) molecules are approximately 80 nucleotides in length. The record is from Rfam by way of RNAcentral. Lineage: Eukaryota; Metazoa; Arthropoda; Insecta; Hemiptera; Psyllidae.